This 253-nucleotide ribosomal RNA is filed under the name uncultured bacterium. Its description in RNAcentral is "partial 16S ribosomal RNA". It matches the Rfam family "Bacterial small subunit ribosomal RNA", at positions 524 to 776 of the family's 1533-position model. The record is from RNAcentral.
GACGAACCGUGCGAACGUUGUUCGGAAUCACUGGGCUUAAAGGGCGCGUAGGCGGGCCGCCAAGUCCGGGGUGAAAUCCUCCAGCUCAACUGGAGAACUGCCUCGGAUACUGGAGGUCUCGAGGGAGAUAGGGGCACGCGGAACUGUGGGUGGAGCGGUGAAAUGCGUUGAUAUCCAUAGGAACUCCGGUGGCGAAGGCGGCGUGCUGGAUCUCUUCUGACGCUGAGGCGCGAAAGCCAGGGGAUCAAACGGG